UCUAAGCAACAAUCCAACGUUAUCUCCAGCCAUUGCUUCAUCAAGAAUCUUCUGAAACAUUUCAACUCCUGUAACUGUGUAGUUCCUCGUCUCUCUCAAUCCAACCAAGUCUACUGUCUCUCCUACUUUCACUGUACCUCUCUCGACACGGCCGGUGGCUACAGUGCCACGGCCCGUGAUCGAGAACACGUCUUCAACAGCUAGCAAGAACGGCAAAUCCGUCUGCCUCGUCGGAAUCGGAAUGUAACUAUCAACGGAAUCCAUCAGAUCGUAGAUUUUAUCAACCCAUUUGUUCUCACCUCUCUUCACAUUCGGAUUCGCAGUGAGAGUUUCAACAGCUAACAAAGCAGAGCCAGAGAUAAUCGGGAUAUCAUCACCGUUGAAUUCGUAGGAAGAGAGAAGCUCACGAACCUCGAGCUCAACGAGCUCUAGAAGCUCUGCGUCAUCGACUUGAUCCUCUUUGUUCAAGAAGACGACCAUAUCGGGAACACCGACCUGCUUCGCCAGAAGAAUAUGCUCUUUCGUCUGAGGCAUAGGACCAUCGGCGCCGGAAACGACGAGGAUAGCUCCGUCCAUCUGAGCAGCUCCGGUGAUCAUGUUCUUAACGUAAUCGGCGUGUCCAGGACAAUCGACGUGAGCGUAAUGGCGAUUCUCCGUCUCGUACUCGACCGUCGCGGUGUUGAUUGUGAUCCCGCGAGCUCUCUCCUCCGGAGCCGCGUCGAUCUCGUCGUACUUCUUCGCGACGCUGCUUCCGAUUGAAGCUAAGGCCAUGGUUAGAGCGGCGGUUAAAGUGGUUUUCCCAUGGUCGACGUGGCCGAUUGUGCCGAUGUUGACGUGAGGCUUCUUCCGCUCGAAUUUUCCUCUGGCGGCGCGUACGGUGAACGCGCGACGGAGACGGUGAGUGGGAGAGGAGGUGGUGACGGAGAGGGAUGUGAUUGAAGGGAGGAAGGAGGAGGAGAGGGUAAGGGAUUUUGGUUUACAGGAGGUGGAAAUGGCGGGAGCAGGGGAGGAAGAAGAUGGAGAAGCGUAGGAAUAGAGGAGUCUCGAAGAAGAGGAAGUAGC
Molecule: long non-coding RNA, 1062 nt
Filed under: Eutrema salsugineum
Lineage: Eukaryota; Viridiplantae; Streptophyta; Magnoliopsida; Brassicales; Brassicaceae
Description: long non-coding RNA (ESAL_LNC001036)
Source: RNAcentral